RNAcentral lists this unclassified non-coding RNA (233 nucleotides) under plant metagenome. Its description in RNAcentral is "partial contains small subunit ribosomal RNA, internal transcribed spacer 1, and 5.8S ribosomal RNA". The record is from RNAcentral.
UUUUCGUAGGUGAACCUGCGGAAGGAUCAUUAUUGGAUUUUGAAACUUCAGGCUGCUGCUGGCUCUCCUCGGAGGGCAUGUGCACGCUUGUUGUCCAUUAUUUCUCCCACUGUGCACAAAUUGUAGACCUUUCAGUAGGCCUAUGUUGUUUUUCACAAUCUCUGAAUGUAAUAGAAUGGUUUUGAAUCUUGGGAAAUACAAUACAACUUUCAGCAACGGAUCUCUUGGCUCUC